RNAcentral lists this ribosomal RNA (164 nucleotides) under uncultured bacterium. Its description in RNAcentral is "partial 16S rRNA". It matches the Rfam family "Bacterial small subunit ribosomal RNA", at positions 355 to 511 of the family's 1533-position model. The record is from RNAcentral.
UAGGGAAUCUUCCACAAUGGGCGCAAGCCUGAUGGAGCAACGCCGCGUGAGUGAAGAAGGUCUUCGGAUCGUAAAACUCUGUUGUUAGAGAAGAACAUGCAGGAGAGUAACUGUUCUUGUAUUGACGGUAUCUAACCAGAAAGCCACGGCUAACUACGAGCCAG